Sebastes umbrosus (honeycomb rockfish) is the source of this 250-nucleotide long non-coding RNA. RefSeq lists it as uncharacterized. Lineage: Eukaryota; Metazoa; Chordata; Actinopteri; Perciformes; Sebastidae. The record is from RefSeq and is a predicted model, not a curated record. The transcript is spliced from 2 exons.
GGUGACCAUGAAUGUUCCUCUAAUUACACACUUAGCAUGGAGAAAUUUUAAGAGACUUGGAUGGAAUUUUCAACUGUACAUGAUUGUGUCCGCCUCUGCAUCCACCAAGCAUCAAAGAUGAAUCAAAAUGGAUUUUAAAAAAUGUGAAUGAUCCAUGUGUGAGGAUUCAUGCAGAGUUCUGUAUGCCUUUUUUUUAACAAUGUUUUUAAAAGAUUUGAAAGAUUUAAAUAAAAGUAAUCAAUGACUUUAU